This 433-nucleotide ribosomal RNA is filed under the name uncultured bacterium. Its description in RNAcentral is "partial 16S ribosomal RNA". It matches the Rfam family "Bacterial small subunit ribosomal RNA", at positions 29 to 507 of the family's 1533-position model. The record is from RNAcentral.
AACGAACGCUGGCGGCAUGCCUAACACAUGCAAGUCGAACGAGACCUUCGGGUCUAGUGGCGCACGGGUGCGUAACGCGUGGGAACCUGCCCUUAGGUUCGGAAUAACUCCCCGAAAGGGGUGCUAAUACCGGAUAAUGUCUUCGGACCAAAGAUUUAUCGCCUUUGGAUGGGCCCGCGUUGGAUUAGCUAGUUGGUAGGGUAAAAGCCUACCAAGGCGACGAUCCAUAGCUGGUCUGAGAGGAUGAUCAGCCACACUGGGACUGAGACACGGCCCAGACUCCUACGGGAGGCAGCAGUGGGGAGUAUUGGACAAUGGGCGAAAGCCUGAUCCAGCAAUGCCGCGUGAGUGAUGAAGGCCUUAGGGUUGUAAAGCUCUUUUAACCGGGAUGAUAAUGACAGUACCGGGAGAAUAAGCGCCGGCUAACUCCGUG